GUAGGGAAUAUUGGACAAUGGGCGCAAGCCUGAUCCAGCCAUGCCGCGUGCAGGAAGAAGGCCUUCUGGGUUGUAAACUGCUUUUGCCAGGGGAUAAAAAGUCCCUGCGGGGAAAAUUGAAGGUACCUGGUGAAUAAGCCACGGCUAACUACGUGCCAGCAGCCGCGGUAAUACGUAGGUGGCAAGCGUUGUCCGGAUUUAUUGGGUUUAAAGGGUGCGUAGGCGGUAGCCUAAGUCAGUUGUGAAAUACGGCAGCUUAACUGUCGAGGUGCAAUUGAUACUGGGUUACUUGAGUACUGAUGAGGUAUGCGGAAUGGACGGUGUAGCGGUGAAAUGCUUAGAUAUCGUCCAGAACACCGAUAGCGAAGGCAGCAUACUAAGGAGUAACUGACGCUGAGGCACGAAAGUGUGGGGAUCAAACAGGAUUAGAAACCCUAGUAGUCC
Molecule: ribosomal RNA, 444 nt
Filed under: uncultured bacterium
Lineage: Bacteria
Description: bacterial SSU rRNA
Rfam family: Bacterial small subunit ribosomal RNA
Source: RNAcentral